This 609-nucleotide ribosomal RNA is filed under the name Staphylococcus aureus. RNAcentral describes it as "partial 23S ribosomal RNA". It matches the Rfam family "Bacterial large subunit ribosomal RNA", at positions 1029 to 1639 of the family's 2925-position model. The record is from RNAcentral. Lineage: Bacteria; Bacillati; Bacillota; Bacilli; Caryophanales; Staphylococcaceae.
AGACCACCAGCUAAGGUCCCAAAAUAUAUGUUAAGUGGAAAAGGAUGUGGCGUUGCCCAGACAACUAGGAUGUUGGCUUAGAAGCAGCCAUCAUUUAAAGAGUGCGUAAUAGCUCACUAGUCGAGUGACACUGCGCCGAAAAUGUACCGGGGCUAAACAUAUUACCGAAGCUGUGGAUUGUCCUUUGGACAAUGGUAGGAGAGCGUUCUAAGGGCGUUGAAGCAUGAUCGUAAGGACAUGUGGAGCGCUUAGAAGUGAGAAUGCCGGUGUGAGUAGCGAAAGACGGGUGAGAAUCCCGUCCACCGAUUGACUAAGGUUUCCAGAGGAAGGCUCGUCCGCUCUGGGUUAGUCGGGUCCUAAGCUGAGGCCGACAGGCGUAGGCGAUGGAUAACAGGUUGAUAUUCCUGUACCACCUAUAAUCGUUUUAAUCGAUGGGGGGACGCAGUAGGAUAGGCGAAGCGUGCGAUUGGAUUGCACGUCUAAGCAGUAAGGCUGAGUAUUAGGCAAAUCCGGUACUCGUUAAGGCUGAGCUGUGAUGGGGAGAAGACAUUGUGUCUUCGAGUCGUUGAUUUCACACUGCCGAGAAAAGCCUCUAGAUAGAAAAUAGGU